Molecule: ribosomal RNA, 253 nt
Filed under: uncultured bacterium
Lineage: Bacteria
Description: partial 16S ribosomal RNA
Rfam family: Bacterial small subunit ribosomal RNA
Source: RNAcentral
UACGUAGGGUGCGAGCGUUGUCCGGAAUUAUUGGGCGUAAAGGGCUCGUAGGCGGUUUGUCACGUCAGGAGUGAAAACUCGGGGCUCAACCCCGAGCCUGCUUCUGAUACGGGCAGACUAGAGGUAUGCAGGGGAGAACGGAAUUCCUGGUGUAGCGGUGAAAUGCGCAGAUAUCAGGAGGAACACCGGUGGCGAAGGCGGGUCUCUGGGCUGAAACUGACGCUCAUGCACGCAAGCGUGGGGAGCAAACAGG